GAUGAACGCUGGCGGCGUGCCUAAUACAUGCAAGUCGAGCGAACAGACGAGGAGCUUGCUCCUCUGACGUUAGCGGCGGACGGGUGAGUAACACGUGGAUAACCUACCUAUAAGACUGGGAUAACUUCGGGAAACCGGAGCUAAUACCGGAUAAUAUAUUGAACCGCAUGGUUCAAUAGUGAAAGACGGUUUUGCUGUCACUUAUAGAUGGAUCCGCGCCGCAUUAGUUAGUUGGUAAGGUAACGGCUUACCAAGGCAGCGAUGCGUAGCCGACCUGAGAGGGUGAUCGGCCACACUGGAACUGAGACAGGGACCAGACUCCUACGGGAAGCAACAGUAGGGAAUCUUACGCAAUGGGGGAAAGCCUGACGGAGCAACGCCGCGUGAGUGAUGAAGGUCUUCGGAUCGUAAAACUCUGUUAUUAGGGAGGAACAAAUGUGUAAGUAACUGUGCACGUCUUGACGGUACCUAAUCAGAAAGCCACGGCUAACUACGUG
RNAcentral lists this ribosomal RNA (497 nucleotides) under uncultured bacterium. RNAcentral's name for it is "partial 16S ribosomal RNA". It matches the Rfam family "Bacterial small subunit ribosomal RNA", at positions 28 to 507 of the family's 1533-position model. The record is from RNAcentral.